UACAGAGGUCUCAACCGUUGUUCGGAUUCAUUGGGCGUAAAGGGUGCGUAGGCGGUCGCGCAAGUCGGAUGUGAAAUCUCAGGGCUCAACCCUGAAACUGCAUUCGAUACUGCGUGGCUAGAGUGCUGGAGAGGAGACUGGAAUUUACGGUGUAGCAGUGAAAUGCGUAGAUAUCGUAAGGAAGACCAGUGGCGAAGGCGGCUACCUGGACCAGCACUGACACUGAGGCACGAAAGCGUGGGGGAGCAAACAGGG
Molecule: ribosomal RNA, 255 nt
Filed under: uncultured bacterium
Lineage: Bacteria
Description: partial 16S ribosomal RNA
Rfam family: Bacterial small subunit ribosomal RNA
Source: RNAcentral